Long non-coding RNA from Lagopus leucura (white-tailed ptarmigan), 366 nucleotides. RefSeq lists it as uncharacterized. The transcript is spliced from 3 exons. The record is from RefSeq and is a predicted model, not a curated record. Lineage: Eukaryota; Metazoa; Chordata; Aves; Galliformes; Phasianidae.
GGAUAACUCUGUAUCAGCCAAGAAUUGGAAGAAGAUAAUGAGAAGAGUUAAUAAGCAGGAGAGAGAAUGACUUUUUAAACUGGGCACCACUCAGAAAGGCCUGGCCAUUGCUGGAGGAGCUCAGUCAUGGCCUGUGUGAGGACAUGUGUAGAGGCAGCAGUCACCCUCCUGCUCUCUGGAAGUCACUGCACGGAAAGCACUUGGAGACCCUCAUGAUCAGAAAAAUGGCAAGAGAAGUCAAAACUAACAUCCAAGAAAUGCUAAUAAAGCAGAAGAAACCAAAGCAAACAGAAGCUAGAGGGCACAGAUCUCAUGAUUGCUACCCUGAAAAACCUGCUGUGUGCCAGAUCCACAGGUGUGUGAGGC